GCCCGGCCGGGGCUUACCAUGCAAGUCGAACGGUGAAGCCCAGCUUGCUGGGUGGAUCAGUGGCGAACGGGUGAGUAACACGUGAGCAACCUGCCCUCCACUUCGGGAUAAGCCUUGGAAACGAGGUCUAAUACCGGAUACGAGCACCUACCGCAUGGUGGGUGUUGGAAAGUUUUUCGGUGGGGGAUGGGCUCGCGGCCUAUCAGCUUGUUGGUGGGGUAAUGGCCUACCAAGGCGUCGACGGGUAGCCGGCCUGAGAGGGCGACCGGCCACACUGGGACUGAGACACGGCCCAGACUCCUACGGGAGGCAGCAGUGGGGAAUAUUGCACAAUGGGCGAAAGCCUGAUGCAGCGACGCCACGUGAGGGAUGACGGCCUUCGGGUUGUAAACCUCUUUCAGCAGGGAAGAAGCGCAAGUGACGGUACCUGCAGAAGAAGCGCCGGCUAACUACGUGCCAGCAGCCGCGGUAAUACGUAGGGCGCAAGCGUUGUCCGGAAUUAUUGGGCGUAAAGAGCUCGUAGGCGGUCUGUCGCGUCUGGUGUGAAAUCUCAUGGCUCAACUGUGAGCUUGCAUCGGGUACGGGCAGACUAGAGUGCUGUAGGGGAGACUGGAAUUCCUGGUGUAGCGGUGGAAUGCGCAGAUAUCAGGAGGAACACCGAUGGCGAAGGCAGGUCUCUGGGCAGUUACUGACGCUGAGGAGCGAAAGCAUGGGGAGCGAACAGGAUUAGAUACCCUGGUAGUCCAUGCCGUAAACGUUGGGCACUAGGUGUGGGGCCAGUUCCACUGGUUCUGUGCCGUAGCUAACGCAUUAAGUGCCCCGCCUGGGGAGUACGGCCGCAAGGCUAAAACUCAAAGGAAUUGACGGGGGCCCGCACAAGCGGCGGAGCAUGCGGAUUAAUUCGAUGCAACGCGAAGAACCUUACCAAGGCUUGACAUGUACGAGAAAGCCCCAGAGAUGGGGUUCUCUUUGGACACUCGUACACAGGUGGUGCAUGGUUGUCGUCAGCUCGUGUCGUGAGAUGUUGGGUUAAGUCCCGCAACGAGCGCAACCCUUGUCUCAUGUUGCCAGCGGGUUAUGCCGGGGACUCAUGGGAGACUGCCGGGGUCAACUCGGAGGAAGGUGGGGAUGACGUCAAAUCAUCAUGCCCCUUAUGUCUUGGGCUUCACGCAUGCUACAAUGGCCGGUACAGAGGGCUGCGAUACCGUGAGGUGGAGCGAAUCCCAAAAAGCCGGUCUCAGUUCGGAUCGGGGUCUGCAACUCGACCCCGUGAAGUCGGAGUCGCUAGUAAUCGCAGAUCAGCAACGCUGCGGUGAAUACGUUCCCGGGCCUUGUACACACCGCCCGUCAAGUCACGAAAGUUGGUAACACCCGAAGCUCACGGCCCAACCCUUGUGGAGGGAGUGGUCGAAAGGUGGGACCA
RNAcentral lists this ribosomal RNA (1423 nucleotides) under Promicromonospora sp. YB033. RNAcentral's name for it is "bacterial SSU rRNA". It matches the Rfam family "Bacterial small subunit ribosomal RNA". Lineage: Bacteria; Bacillati; Actinomycetota; Actinomycetes; Micrococcales; Promicromonosporaceae. The record is from RNAcentral. RNAcentral also lists the same sequence under 1 other name.